AACGGCUUGGAUCAUUGAAAGACGAUCAAUCGGAUUCAAAGGCUAGAGUCCCGACGUAUGACAUUGCAUUACGAACAAACCUCAUAAUUCAUCUUCCUCCUCGUGAAACUCCGUCUACACUGCUUUCAUCAGCACGAAGCUCUCUCUCUCUCUUUCUCUCUCUCUCUCUCUCUCUCGGAGAUGGGUCCAAGACAGUGUGAGGUCUGCAAGGAAGCGCAAUCGAAAUACAAGUGCCCUUCCUGUCUCAUUCCUUACUGUUCUCUUCCAUGUUUCAAGAAACAUAAAGAAAUUCCUUGUGCAAAGCCUGUGUCUGUUGAGGCAAAACCACCUCUUAUAUUGCUCCGGGAAAGAUCAUACGAAGUAGGUGAACAAAGCUGGAUGCUUCAAAAGGCUCAGUUAGAGUCCGUAGCGACUUCCAAUGAAAUUCGAGAUGCCUUGAAGGAUGAAGAACUUCGAAAACUCAUAUGCAAGAUUGACUGUUCCCCAGAUGCAGAAAAUGAACUAGAUAAAGCUAUGGAGGGACAGAUCUUCCGUGAAUUCACCGACAAGAUUCUAUCCAUUGUCAGCCAAGAACAAUCAGUUGUAGCUGAAAAAAGAUGAUGAGGCAGGACACAUCAUCUUAGCUGUUAGAAGCUCGUUGAAAGAGGUGAUGCUCUGGCCCAUCUAAAGAGUUCCAAAGGGUGAUCGGAUGCAGCGGAGAGUCCCUUGUCUCAGCUACGAUCAGAGGGGGGAAAUGUGGGCUGCUUAAUGCUGAUUCCAUGUGGCCGCACAGGCCAAUUUAAGUUGCCCUACGUUUUGCAGUACACUUAGAUGCCGUGUAUAUGAUCUGUCGAUGUGGUCAAGUUGUCAAAGUGAGCAUUAUAUCACAUUCUAGAACAGUUAUCAUGGACCAUGUGCACAUGCAACCAUAGUACGUGGGAUGUGUGUCAAUGUGAAACUGACCAAAUUGUGGGUCCCAUUGCAGCCGGGAUGUAGUGAAAAGAUCAAUGUUUGGAGAUUAUUAGCCA
Molecule: RNA transcript, 1007 nt
Organism: Magnolia sinica
Lineage: Eukaryota; Viridiplantae; Streptophyta; Magnoliopsida; Magnoliales; Magnoliaceae
Exons: 8
Source: RefSeq, a predicted model, not a curated record